RNAcentral lists this long non-coding RNA (453 nucleotides) under Anas platyrhynchos platyrhynchos (common mallard). RNAcentral describes it as "lncRNA (ENSAPLG00000016528.1)". Lineage: Eukaryota; Metazoa; Chordata; Aves; Anseriformes; Anatidae. The record is from RNAcentral.
AUGAUUGGCGUUGGGUCUGGAGAAGGGGAGAAUGGUGGGCAAAUUUAUGAACCUUUUUGUUUGUUUGAUUUGUUUUCUUUUGUUUUUCAGAAAGUUUACUCGGUGUCCCACUUGUCUUUUAACUCAUGGAGACCUCUGACCAAACAAGGCCUCCACUGGGGACAUUUUGAGGAACGAGCACAGAGUGUGAUAUGCUUGCCCAUCCUGGAGGAGAACUUGCAAAUGCCUGCUCCCCCAGCAGCUGGAGGGCUAGUAAGAAUGCGUGGAGGACAACAGUGGCACCUUCCCUGUCAGCACAGGCAAAACCAUUUCAGAAAGCUCUCAUGUGUGCUGCUACCAGGAUGAAUGAAGGAGGGCAGAAGGGGUGAAGAGAGCUGAGGAACAGCAGAAAGAAGCAGUUUAUACAACAGAUAAAAAGCCAAAUAAAGUGUGUGCAGACUCAAUAAAUCUGCA